Molecule: ribosomal RNA, 396 nt
Filed under: uncultured bacterium
Lineage: Bacteria
Description: partial 16S ribosomal RNA
Rfam family: Bacterial small subunit ribosomal RNA
Source: RNAcentral
AUACGUAGGGGGCAAGCGUUAUCCGGAUUUACUGGGUGUAAAGGGAGCGUAGACGGAAGGUCAAGUCAGGUGUGAAAGGCAUGGGCUCAACUCAUGGACUGCACUUGAAACUGGUCAUCUUGAGUGUCGGAGGGGCAGGCGGAAUUCCUGGUGGAGCGGUGAAAUGCGUAGAUAUCAGGAAGAACACCGGUGGCGAAGGCGGCCUGCUGGACGAUUACUGACGUUGAGGCUCGAAGGCGUGGGGAGCAAACAGGAUUAGAUACCCUGGUAGUCCACGCAGUAAACGAUGAAUACUAGGUGCUGGUGACCACAGGUCAUCGGUGCCGCCGCUAACGCAUUAAGUAUUCCACCUGGGGAGUACGUUCGCAAGAAUGAAACUCAAAGGAAUUGACGGGG